RNAcentral lists this ribosomal RNA (331 nucleotides) under uncultured Actinomycetes bacterium. RNAcentral describes it as "bacterial SSU rRNA". It matches the Rfam family "Bacterial small subunit ribosomal RNA", at positions 28 to 351 of the family's 1533-position model. Lineage: Bacteria; Bacillati; Actinomycetota; Actinomycetes. The record is from RNAcentral.
GACGAACGCUGGCGGCGUGCUUAACACAUGCAAGUCGAACGAGGUUCAUCCGGUAGCAAUACCGGUGAAGACCUAGUGGCGAACGGGUGCGUAACACGUGAGGAACUUGUCCCGGUCUCUGGGAUAACAGUUGGAAACGACUGCUAAUACCGGAUGACGUCGGAGCGUCGCAUGGCGCGCUGACGAAAGGGUUACCGGAUCGGGAGAGCCUCGCGGCCUAUCAGCUUGUUGGUGGGGUAACGGCCUACCAAGGCAUCGACGGGUAGCUGGUCUGAGAGGAUGAUCAGCCACACUGGGACUGAGACACGGCCCAGACUCCUACGGGUGGCAG